This 446-nucleotide ribosomal RNA is filed under the name uncultured bacterium. Its description in RNAcentral is "bacterial SSU rRNA". It matches the Rfam family "Bacterial small subunit ribosomal RNA", at positions 330 to 792 of the family's 1533-position model. The record is from RNAcentral.
UCCAGACUCCUACGGGAGGCAGCAGUGGGGAAUAUUGCACAAUGGGGGAAACCCUGAUGCAGCAACGCCGCGUGAGUGAAGAAGUAUUUCGGUAUGUAAAGCUCUAUCAGCAGGGAAGAAGAAGGACGGUACCUGACUAAGAAGCCCCGGCUAACUACGUGCCAGCAGCCGCGGUAAUACGUAGGGGGCAAGCGUUAUCCGGAUUUACUGGGUGUAAAGGGGGCGCAGACGGCGAUGCAAGCCAGGAGUGAAAGCCCGGGGCCCAACCCCGGGACUGCUCUUGGAACUGCGUGGCUGGAGUGCAGGAGGGGCAGGCGGAAUUCCUGGUGUAGCGGUGAAAUGCGUAGAUAUCAGGAGGAACACCGGUGGCGAAGGCGGCCUGCUGGACUGCAACUGACGUUGAGGCCCGAAAGCGUGGGGAGCAAACAGGAUUAGAUACCCCCGUA